This 493-nucleotide ribosomal RNA is filed under the name uncultured bacterium. RNAcentral's name for it is "partial 16S ribosomal RNA". It matches the Rfam family "Bacterial small subunit ribosomal RNA", at positions 28 to 507 of the family's 1533-position model. The record is from RNAcentral.
GACGAACGCUGGCGGCGUGCUUAACACAUGCAAGUCGAACGGUGAAGCACCUUCCUUUUGGUGGGUGUGGAUGAGUGGCGAACGGGUGAGUAACACGUGAGUAGCCUGCCCCCUUCUUCUGGAUAACCGCAUGAAAGUGUGGCUAAUACGGGAUAUUCUGGGUCUGUCGCAUGGCGGGCCUGGGAAAGAUAUUGUUUCGGUGGGGGAUGGGCUCGCGGUCUAUCAGCUUGUUGGUGGGGUGAUGGCCUACCAAGGCGGUGACGGGUAGCCGGCCUGAGAGGGUGGACGGUCACACUGGGACUGAGACACGGCCCAGACUCCUACGGGAGGCAGCAGUGGGGAAUAUUGCACAAUGGGCGCAAGCCUGAUGCAGCGACGCCGCGUGAGGGAUGGAGGCCUUCGGGUUGUAAACCUCUUUCGCCAGUGAAGCAGGCCUGUCCCUUUUGUGGGUGGGUUGACGGUAGCUGGAUAAGAAGCGCCGGCUAACUACGUG